GAUGUGACGUGCCAUCUUCAUUUCCUACAUUGAAGAAGGAAAAUGUUGUUAUUGAAAAAGAUGUUUUAGAUAGGUAUGUUUGAAGUUAGUUUACUGGUAGGUUUUCAGGGUAGGCCUAUGCAUGGAUAACUGAGUAUUAUAAACAAAUCAGUACUAGACAAGUGGAGGAAGAGGCCCGCUGUUGAUGUGCCGAGGACCCCCAGUGGGUUAGGUAAUUGCUUCCGGCAAAGGCCUAUAACAAAUGUGUUGACAAAAUCCUUCAAUAUUAAGCUAGAGUUACCAUUGUUUGGUUACAACAUGGGAAAAUAGAGGGAGUUGAGGGGGGCACAGCAUUGAGAUAGGUUAGAGCUGUGUGUAGUACGAGCCUCCCAUAGCUCAGAGGGGCCAGCCUCAGACAGACUGGUUAAGGAGUGCUACGCGGCUCUCCCGCCUUGGUGGGCGCCGAUUUAAUCCCCGGGGCCGGCAAAACCUUCCCUUGUCUGGAUUAAUUUCUCGUGUGUUAAGUUACAGACUGUGCUCGUGUGAGAGUGUAGAAAAGAGAAAAUUCAGGGCGUUUCAUGUGGUCCACAACAGGGAUAUCGUGUGCUGGCCCCAGGCGCUGAAAAGUCACUCAUUUAGUGGUACAUAGGGUGCUUCGUUGUGCAGUGGUUAGCACACUCGGCUCACGACUGAGAGAGCCCAGGUUUGAUUCCCGGGCGGAGUGGAAAAAUUUGGGCGGCUUUUCUGAUACCCUACGCCCCUGUCCACCCAGCAGUGAAUGGGUACCAGCGUGAAGAUGUCAGGUCGCGAUGCGGUCGGCGCACCUUCCAGAACGCCAACCAGGUGGUGGAGUUGACCACACGCACCAUUCCCAAGGCUCAACACCACCACCACCACCACCACCAGCGAGGACAUCAACACCAUUCACCACCACCAUUGAAACCAGAUCACACCACCACCACCAAGAUUGGCUACAGUGAAGGUCGUGGCAGAGAGUGUACUCAAACUCCUACUGUGAGCUACUCCUGAUGCCUGCGCCCUCACCACCCCUGUGAAGGACGCCCAGCUGACCCAACCCUCCUCAGUGUGUGAUGAUGCUGGGACCAAGAAGAAGAAGAAGAGGAAGAGGAGGAGAAGGAAGAAGAUGAUAAUUGCAACAGAAGAUCAGAAGAAGAAGAAGAAGAGGAGGAGGAAUGGAAGAAGAAGAACAAGAACAAGAACAAGAGGAGG
Molecule: long non-coding RNA, 1209 nt
Organism: Eriocheir sinensis (Chinese mitten crab)
Lineage: Eukaryota; Metazoa; Arthropoda; Malacostraca; Decapoda; Varunidae
Exons: 4
Source: RefSeq, a predicted model, not a curated record